RNAcentral lists this ribosomal RNA (486 nucleotides) under uncultured soil bacterium. RNAcentral's name for it is "bacterial SSU rRNA". It matches the Rfam family "Bacterial small subunit ribosomal RNA", at positions 26 to 523 of the family's 1533-position model. The record is from RNAcentral.
AGGACGAACGCUGGCGGCGUGCUUAACACAUGCAAGUCGAACGAGGCCCAGUCAGUAGCAAUACUGAUGAAGGCCUAGUGGCGAACGGGUGAGUAACACGUGAGAAACCUAUCCUGGUCUCUGGGAUAACAGUCGGAAACAACUGCUAAUACCGGAUGCCGUCGGAGCGCUGCAUGGCGCACUGACGAAAGGGUUACUGGAUCAGGAGGGUCUCGCGGCCUAUCAGCUUGUUGGUGGGGUAACGGCCUACCAAGGCAUCGACGGGUAGCUGGUCUGAGAGGAUGAUCAGCCACACUGGGACUGAGACACGGCCCAGACUCCUACGGGAGGCAGCAGUGGGGAAUCUUGCGCAAGUGGGCGAAAGCCUGACGCAGGCAACGCGCGUGCGGAAGAGGCCUUGGUUGUAACGCUUUACGAGAAGAACGAAACUGACGGUACUUUCGAGAAGAAGUGGCGCCAACUACGUAGCCGAGCACGCCGCGGUAA